AUUGAACGCUGGCGGCAUGCCUUACACAUGCAAGUCGAACGGCAGCACGGGAGCAAUCCUGGUGGCGAGUGGCGAACGGGUGAGUAAUAUAUCGGAACGUGCCCAGUCGUGGGGGAUAACGUAGCGAAAGCUACGCUAAUACCGCAUACGAUCUAUGGAUGAAAGCGGGGGAUCGCAAGACCUCGCGCGAUUGGAGCGGCCGAUAUCAGAUUAGGUAGUUGGUGAGGUAAAGGCUCGCCAAGCCGACGAUCUGUAGCUGGUCUGAGAGGACGACCAGCCACACUGGGACUGAGACACGGCCCAGACUCCUACGGGAGGCAGCAGUGGGGGAAUUUUUGGACAAUGGGCGCAAAGGCCUGAUCCAGCAAUGCCGCGUGCAGGAUGAAGGCC
This 390-nucleotide ribosomal RNA is filed under the name uncultured bacterium. RNAcentral describes it as "bacterial SSU rRNA". It matches the Rfam family "Bacterial small subunit ribosomal RNA", at positions 29 to 416 of the family's 1533-position model. The record is from RNAcentral.